GCCAAGAAGGUUGGCGCGGAAGGGGACUUAAAAUCCGCAGACCCUUAUCAGGUCGUGGGGGUUCAAGUCCCCCUCCGGGCACCA
This 84-nucleotide transfer RNA is filed under the name Tunturiibacter empetritectus. Its description in RNAcentral is "Tunturibacter empetritectus tRNA-OTHER". The record is from RNAcentral. Lineage: Bacteria; Pseudomonadati; Acidobacteriota; Terriglobia; Terriglobales; Acidobacteriaceae.